This is a long non-coding RNA of Ictidomys tridecemlineatus (thirteen-lined ground squirrel), 7078 nucleotides long. RefSeq lists it as uncharacterized. The record is from RefSeq and is a predicted model, not a curated record. Lineage: Eukaryota; Metazoa; Chordata; Mammalia; Rodentia; Sciuridae.
GGUAAGUACAUCCUCUAUCGGUGGAGACUGGCCUAGAGGAGGCAGAGCAGUAAACUGACCCCAUUAGUGACAUUGGAGAGAAACACAAGAUGAUGAGGAGACACCUUUAAAACUCAAAACAACCACAACAAACCCAGAAGGAGCAACGGGAGAGUGAGAGAAAGGGAGACCUCCAAGCUAGGCAGAGGCCCAACGUCCGGAUAACGGGGGUCUGAGGAAGACGGCCAGGGCCAGCGGACCCCAGAACUCCAGCCCAGGAGGCCAAGACACACACGGCUGGCCACAUCCACCCCCUGGGCUUCCCGUCCACAUCUCGGGCUCCGGAGAAAGGAGCCGAGCCUCGGCAGACUUCCUGUGGCACCGCCCCGCAGUGGACAUGGAGUGACGGACGUCAGAGGCUCUAGAAAGCACCUCGGAGCUGAAGUCUGUCCAGCCAAACGGCCACCUCGAUGCGAGGAGCACAGAGGAGACGCUGUGUGCUGUGAACGUGUCCCCGCAAUCCUUCUGAGGAGCCUGCUGGGGAGGGGCUGUGACCACCCGAAGGACCAAGGGGACAUGGACACGGGAUGGCUGGUGACCUGAAGACAGGCAGGUUGGGAAGUACCAGCAUGAAAGGAGAUGUGGUAAAGGGCAAGGGCUGUGCGGUGUGGCGGUGUAGACGGUAUGCAAACGCACGACAGGGGACAAGGGGGACAUCUGCUGAAAGCCGAGUGCCUUUGUCAGCAGUCACACUGGGUGGUGGCAUUAAUAUGCUCUCCUGAGACUACUGUCUGUGUAACCAGAACACAGCCAGCCAGCAACGAGGGGCAGCCACCCUCUCCCCGUCGGGUCCUCAGAGGGACCUUGUUGUGGAGAAUGGAGGGAGUCAAGCCAGGGUCCAGCUGGGGUCUCCACUCCCAGAGCCAGGAAACGGACGCUUCCAGGGCUGGGCAGAAAGUCGACAGGGGAGCCCGCCACGUCUUGGUGCCUUGUUAGGGUCUGUAAACAAGUCAGGAUGGCGCCUGGCGUUUUGCAGAGGGAGUGGUUUGUGAAGUUAGGCCAGCGAGCCAUUAGGUGUGGAGAUUCCGACUGGUUGACUGCUGUAUCCAGCUUAUGUAAAUUAGAUCAGCUGUGCGCAAUGUAUAUGUGCCCCUCCUGUCCUACAUAAACGGCUCCCGCUCCUGCUGUGUCAGUCUUCACAAGCUGUCCCCAGCCGGACUGUGGCAGUGCCUCAGGAGCCCGGAGCGAGAGGACUGCCGGGGCCCUCAGCAGGGCCUGGCGUGAGUGGGGGGGUUCUCUCUGCUGCAGGAUGGGGGGCUCCCAGGCCAUGGUGUCGGGAACUGCGACAGACUUGAAGCCACCAGAUCUGUUUAAACCCAAAGAGUCCACAACGGUAUUUAAAGAGGAAAACAAGUGAACUGAUCAGUCACAGCGUCAGGGUGACGGGGCAAUUCUUUCUCUUGAAAAAGAGGUCAGUUGGAGUAAGAACUGGACUUCCUGUGCUGUAGGAAGGGCCCCGCUAUAAUCCCACAGCAAACGCGGGGGAAGACCUCUUUGUAAAUCACAGAUUAUUCCGACUAUUUGAUGAAAACAAAAUGGUCAAUUAACCUCAUACGCCCCAUGGCUCCCGACAUCACAGAACAAGGUGCCAGCAGAUGCCUGUGUCCAACCCAGGAGCAGACACCGCUGCGAGCCUGGCGGGUGACAGCGCUGUGGUGUGCCAGCCAGCACACCUAGCCAAGCCCAGGCUGUGGGAAAUUCCUCUGCUUGAACCGCGUGGGCACAGCACAGAUUGCUGACAGGAGCACAAAGGUUAACAAGAGUGGGGGGUCCUGUGCUGAGCUGUGUUCUCCCAGCCUUCCUGCAUUGAAGCCUGUGACCCAGCGUCUCGGCAUGUGACUGCAUCUGCGACGAGGCCUUUCAAGAGGUGACUAAGACUUUUAAACUGAGCAGGAAGUACAGAGAGUUUCCACACGUCCUACCCCCAGACCCACACCCCCCACCGACAUCCCACACCAGUUGGUCACGAUCCAGGAACCUCACAGGUACGUCAUGGUCACCCAGAGCCCUUUGCUGCUCUUUAGAACAAUUUUGUUCUCCCUCCCGACUCCACGCUGGCGUAGGAAGGCGUCUCCUGGUCCAAAGUUCUGGGGCAUGAAGCAGGUGAAACCACAGAGAACAAAAGGAAAGGCUGGGGUGGAGCCGAGCACCCUCCGCGAGCUGGCGCUGGCGAGAGGCAGGAGGCCAAGGGCUGGAGUGGGCACGGGCUGGGACAGCGAGGGAGGACGCCUUCCCUGGGCGGCUGGGCCUGAGGAGAGACGCUGUGGCUGAGGCGACCGACCCAGCAGCCUGAGCGAGACAGCUGGGGGCUGGGAGGAGGCCGCAGACCCCAGCCUGGCCCCACAGCCAGGGGCUCAGUGUCUCUGUGCUGGUUCCCUGAGUUUGCGGAAUGAAGCCAGACAUUCUGCAACCCCAGCAUGUCUGGGAGAAAGAAUGAGAGAGGAUGACAACUGGCCAGUGCGGGUCGUCUGGGCCACAGGAAAACACCAGGGAAGCCCUCUUCCUGCAGCCGCAAAGACACCCGAGAGGCCACUUGAGCAGGUGACUCAGGUGCCACUGAAGCCUUUCCACCAGGGGGCAGCUGCAGGGUGGUGGGGUAAAUGUACCUUGUCUUCUCCUCGGGCCUCGCUGGGAACAGAGCAAGCUCCUCCUGAGAACCAGCGACAUCCAGGUGGGGCUAGAGGUGGGCUGGCAGCAACGUCCCUGUGUCGUCCUCUUACAUUCAACCACGGUCCUGUGCCAUGAAAGGUGAGCUCAGAAGAACUCUCAGAACUUGCUGCCACUUCUCUGCAAACCUAAAAUCAUUCUAAAAGAAAAAAAAAACCAUUAUCAAAAACACACAAAAAGGGCUGGGACUAGAGCUCAGUAGGUAGAGCACUAGCCCAGCACAGAGAUCCUCGGCACCACAUGGAAAUAAAUAAACAGAAUCAAGGUGUUGUGACCAUCUACAAAACAAACAGACAAAGUGUGCCACAGCAGGAACCGUGGGGGCUGAACCAGCGGGAGAGGGCCAGGGUGGUGUAGGGACCGCAGAGUCGACUGGGGACUCUGCGAAGAGGACAUGCAGCUCUGAGGGGCAGAGGUCAGCCAGUGCCUGCCCUUUCAUGCAUGUGGAUGACGAAGAUGAUGCUGGUGAAGAUUAGGAUCGCAGUCAGACAGCCGCCCAGGGCCCUUGGCAGUUGCCACUCGCCUGGGUCCUUGCUGCUUCCUUUUGUCUUCAGGACAAGGAGCAAACAGUGAUCCCCUGGUCUCCAUGGACACUAGGAGACACUGGUGACUCUGGAUGGCAGUUGUCCCUGGUUUCGGACAGGUCCCCUGCUCCUCCUCCUCAGCACUCCUCCUGGGUGGCAAAAGUCUGGCAGGCACCUCCAGCUCCCAAGGUUCCAGCUGUCCAAAAGCUGGCGCAGUUGAGGGCCCACCCCACACAGUCUGUCCAGCCAUGCCCUGGGCAGGGAGGAACGAGUCCUUGCUUCCCCAAGGUUGAAGAAUAACACCAGAAAAGCACGCCGAGGCAAGGUCAGAGUAGAAAUUAGAAGUUUAUUAAAGGACGGCAGAAAAGGCUUCUCCCAGAGGAAGAAGGGGACCCAAGACGUGGAAUCCUGGAAGUGUGGUUGUCUCCCCUCUUUAUAGUUUUGGUGAUGGAAUGUAGGUGGGAAGGCCCGAGGGGUGGGACACAGGUGGGCCAAACAAGUAAUCUGGGCCAGAAGGACUUCAUUAUCACUUCUUGGGAUGGGCUAUCUCCCAAUCUGUUGGGGGCUGUUUCCUGGGUUCCAUUAACAUUUCUUUGGGGUGGACUUUGGCCUAGGGCCUUUCCAUUCCCUGCUUUUCCGGAAUCAUUUUAGGCAUGGCCUCCAUUUUAGGUCUCACUGAUAUUAGACCCGAUUUACCUAACUACACUGACUACCUAACUUUAAAUCUGGCUUCAGAACUGCUGGCCGCCCUGGGCUCAAGCGGGAAAUUGCUAGCAUUGUUUCCUCCUCAAUAAAUUCUUAAAAUGGUCACUAGAUCUGCACCAAAGCCACCCCCACCCCCGUUUUUUUUUGGUACCGGGGAUUGAACUCUGGGGCACUGGACCGCUGAGGCACACCACAGCCCUAUUCUGUAUUUUAUUAGAGACAGGGCCUCACUGAGGUUUUGAACUCAGGAUCCUCCUCUCUCAACCUCCCAAGCUGCUGGCCACCGCGCUAGGAACAAAGCCCCUCUUAAAACACACGGAACAGAAAUGCAGCUCCUCAACAUUUCAGCCCGGGAGGAAGGAGCUGAUUCAGAAAAGCUGCUUUUCAGAGCCAUCUCCCCCUCUGGCUUCCUGGGCCUGACUGGCCAGCACAGCUGCACCAAGGGACCAGUCUGUCUUCGUGUCUGGGAUGGCCCCGGCAAGCCCCACAGCUGUGACAAGAGAGGCUGCGGAGGCUGUCAAAGCCUCCGCAUGGGCUCAGUCCCGCUGGCCCUGGGUCCCUCCUGGUCCUGGAGAGGAUGAUGCAAUGUUUGUGUCCUGUGUUGGCAGAGCUAAGGCCCCUUCCGUGUUGAUGGGCUGACCUCUGGUGGCCGACCUGGACAUUGCCGGGCGCAGACAGCUUCUGACCAACUUGUAUGCCGAAUUGCAUCAGCCAAGGAGCCACUAAGAAAGUUGAGAUCCGUUCAGCCCCUGGGGCUCCACGGUCCUGGCUUUGUGUGGGGGGUGGGGGUCAAGGGACCUCAGUAAGUCUGCCUCGGAUGCUCAGCUGCUCAGCGCUGCGGAGACUGUGACUGACCGCCUGCAGGAGCUCCUGGCUGGUGGGAACUGGUGGCCAGGAACAACCCUCCCAGCGGGUUCUGCCACUGUUGCUGAGCCCCGGCCAGUCUGUGCCGACCCUUCGUGCUUCGGUCCUCUCCGUGCUCAUCUUCAGCCCGUGGAAGGGUCACUUGUCUCUGGGCAAAGGCCCAAAGUGCCUGGGACUCAGGCCAAAGCGUCUGAUAGGAAGAGAAAACAAACAUCCCUCUCCUCUGAAAACCAUCAUCCCCAAGUGAAGUGUGUGACAGGGUCUCUGGAGCUUCAUGGGGGCACGGGCAGGGUGCCCAAGGGUCAGAAAGGGGCAGACAGGAAGGAGCAGGGUGAGGAUGCUCAGCUUACUUGGUACCCAUGACCGGAUUUUUAUUUUCUAUUUUUUGUAGUUGUAGAUGGACAGAAUGCCUUUAUUUUAUUUGUUAAUUUUUUUUUUUAAUGUGGUGCUGAGGAUCCAACCCAGUGCCCCACCCAUGCUAGGCAAGUGCUUUGCCACUGAGCCACGGCCAGCCUCCAUGACCUGUGGUCGGUUUCUCUUCCCCAUCUCUUUGUAUGCCUCUCCACCUCUCUAUUAUCAUGCAACGUAUAUUAACAUGACGUUUCAUGUGUGCCUCUGAGCAAAGUGGAUUCUAGUACAUGGUGUGACUGUUGCCACCUGCUGGCAGGCCGUAGCAUCGCAAUUUCCAGGUCUGGAUGGUGGGGCUUGGGAGGCAUCACACCAAGUCAAGGUUCAUAAGGCAGGAAAACAAUGAUUUUAAUGUCCUUUAAUGUCAUAAUGACAACAGUUAGCCAGUGAACAGGCUGCAAGGUAACUGCGACCCUAGUGUGCUCCCACGUGAGAUGGCAGGCUCUUGUCUGCUUCAGAUGUGUGUCCCCUAAACCCACCCACACAGCUGUCUCUGCUGUCCUGUGGAGUGAUCAGAGGUGCCACAGAGAAAUGCUGGACACAGGACAGAGCAAACUGCUAAUUCCAGGUGUGUUCUUAAAAAGGCCAGAAUACUGAGCCCAGCAGUGCAAGAUGGAGAUGGUGCUGACAGUGAGUUGGAUUUAAAAAAUAAUUUUUUUUCAGUAUUGGGGAUGGAAUCCAGAGACACUUUAUCUCUGAGUUACACUCCCAGGCCCCUUUUAUUUUUAUUUUAAGACAGAGGCUUGCUAAGUCACCCAGGCUGGCCUGGAACUCGUGAUCCUCCUGCCCCAGCCUCCUGAAUUGCUGGAAUUACAGGCAUGGCUGCCCAAUCCACCACAGUUUCUAAAAUCCCUCUAACAUCACCCUUUUGAGCACUUGGUACUUUAAUCCUGCUCAGCCCAGGAGCCAGCUCAGUUUCCCUGCCGGUGACCCCAUAGCCAGCAACCUGUGCGGAGGGCUUCCAGCAGCAGCCUUGAAAUGCCGCUGUCUGGUACAGACGACUGCAAAACUCCCCAUUCCCAAGAAGAGCACUUCUCUUGCUGUUCAACCGCAGGCUCCGUUGGAGGCCAUCUGGAGGGGCCAGGUGUUGCCUUCAUGGAAGCUGGUUCUGAAACCUCCAUCCCGGGCGUGGAGCUAACCACAUCCUGCUGGUUUUGGCCCAGCUGGUGAAUGAUGCAAUCCACAGAGGACAGGUAAAUGCAGCAGAGGCCGUCCUCCACCAGAAUCCCGGGUAGGCAGCUGCAGAAGGCAUGGCGGGUUCAUACCAGGAAACCAGAUCCAAGACUUGGCAACCUGUCGUCCAGUAUUUCAUAGACAAACCAGAAACAGAUCGCUGGCCUCUGAUUUCCAAGUAACCCAAGAUGUUCCCAGUAACAGCACUUCCUCUCAUGGCGCUGGUCCACGUGAUCCAUCCUCUCUCACCCCAUCCUCCUUCCUGCCUUGAGUCACUUGCCUUUGUGUCCCCAGGACAAAAACAUGGCCCCAUUCAUUAAAUGUAAAUAAAUCAUUAAAAAUGAAGAAAGUCCCCAAAUGGCUCAGAAAGGCAUGCAGAAAAUGUGUCCCUGCUAUAGUCAGAGGAAGGGAACACGUGAGAUGGUCAGAUAUGGUCUUCAUCUGUAUGUGGGUCGUCCUCUCCAAGACCAAGAGCCACAAGCUUUUGAUAGCAGCACUCAGGUGAGAUGCAAAUGAAGAAUCAAGGAGUGGAGACAGAGGUGCACUGGAUCAGCAAGAGCCCUUAUAGCUGAUGCACGAGAGGCUGGUCGGCUGCCUUCUCAGGGAGGCAUGGGUUUGGUCUUGACCUUGUGGAGCUUGAGAGUGGCUCUGCACCUGUCACUCUGGCUCUAACAUCCCCAUUAAAGACUUUGGAGUCA